GGAAUCUUCCACAAUGGGCGAAAGCCUGAUGGAGCAACGCCGCGUGUGUGAUGAAGGGCUUCGGCUCGUAAAACACUGUUGUAAGAGAAGAAUGACAUUGAGAGUAACUGUUCAAUGUGUGACGGUAUCUUACCAGAAAGGAACGGCUAAAUACGUGCCAG
RNAcentral lists this ribosomal RNA (161 nucleotides) under uncultured bacterium. RNAcentral's name for it is "partial 16S ribosomal RNA". It matches the Rfam family "Bacterial small subunit ribosomal RNA", at positions 358 to 511 of the family's 1533-position model. The record is from RNAcentral.